RNAcentral lists this ribosomal RNA (222 nucleotides) under Escherichia coli. Its description in RNAcentral is "partial 16S ribosomal RNA". It matches the Rfam family "Bacterial small subunit ribosomal RNA", at positions 1 to 217 of the family's 1533-position model. The record is from RNAcentral. RNAcentral also lists the same sequence under 1 other name. Lineage: Bacteria; Pseudomonadati; Pseudomonadota; Gammaproteobacteria; Enterobacterales; Enterobacteriaceae.
UUAAAUUGAAGAGUUUGAUCAUGGCUCAGAUUGAACGCUGGCGGCAGGCCUAACACAUGCAAGUCGAACGGUAACAGGAAACAGCUUGCUGUUUCGCUGACGAGUGGCGGACGGGUGAGUAAUGUCUGGGAAACUGCCUGAUGGAGGGGGAUAACUACUGGAAACGGUAGCUAAUACCGCAUAACGUCGCAAGACCAAAGAGGGGGACCUUCGGGCCUCUUG